Molecule: small RNA, 27 nt
Filed under: Bombyx mori (domestic silkworm)
Lineage: Eukaryota; Metazoa; Arthropoda; Insecta; Lepidoptera; Bombycidae
Description: ovarian small RNA-22922
Source: RNAcentral
UAGUAGUGCGUAUACGUUUAGUGCCAC